CCUACGGGUGGCUGCAGUGGGGAAUAUUGGGCAAUGGGCGCAAGCCUGACCCAGCAACGCCGCGUGAAGGAAGAAGGCUUUCGGGUUGUAAACUUCUUUUCUCAGGGACGAAGCAAGUGACGGUACCUGAGGAAUAAGCCACGGCUAACUACGUGCCAGCAGCCGCGGUAAUACGUAGGUGGCAAGCGUUAUCCGGAUUUACUGGGUGUAAAGGGCGUGUAGGCGGGACUGCAAGUCAGAUGUGAAAACCAUGGGCUCGACCUAUGGCCUGCAUUUGAAACUGUAGUUCUUGAGUACUGGAGAGGCAGACGGAAUUCCUAGUGUAGCGGUGAAAUGCGUAGAUAUUAGGAGGAACACCAGUGGCGAAGGCGGCCGCCUGGCCUGUUGCUGACGCUGAGGCACGAAAGCGUGGGGAGCAAAUAGGAUUAGAUACCCCAGUAGUC
RNAcentral lists this ribosomal RNA (443 nucleotides) under uncultured bacterium. Its description in RNAcentral is "partial 16S ribosomal RNA". It matches the Rfam family "Bacterial small subunit ribosomal RNA", at positions 338 to 795 of the family's 1533-position model. The record is from RNAcentral.